UUGAAUAAUGUGGAAUUAGGUGCUUCAGUUGAACGAAUUGAAGCUUAAAAGGGAAGUUCGGUGUAAUACCGACGCGGUCCCGCCACUGUAACAGAGGAGUCACUGCUAUAUAGCCACUGAUUGUAUAAUCGGGAAGGUAAGCAGAUGGAUUACGAUUCUGGAGCCAGGAGACCUGCCUAUUUUGACAGCACUGC
This 194-nucleotide non-coding RNA is filed under the name Paenibacillus sp. Lineage: Bacteria; Bacillati; Bacillota; Bacilli; Caryophanales; Paenibacillaceae. The record is from RNAcentral. RNAcentral also lists the same sequence under 1 other name.